This is a non-coding RNA of Manis javanica (Malayan pangolin), 4829 nucleotides long. Lineage: Eukaryota; Metazoa; Chordata; Mammalia; Pholidota; Manidae. The record is from RefSeq and is a predicted model, not a curated record.
AGCCUUUAAGAUGGCUGUACUUAUGCUAACUUUUGAUUCUUCAGAUCUUACACUAAGAGUAGGGAUCUGAAGCUUUUAUUUUACUCCACAUUGCGCAGCACCAAUUUGACACAGUGCGGGGCUCACAGAGAAUAUCCAAUAGAUGCUUAUUAAACUAAAUGUCUUUGACUAUCUCAGAGAGUAGUUUACAGUCGGAGUUUACAUUAAUUGUUCAAGGUUAUGAGGCAGGGAAAUCGGCAGAGUUCCAUCUCACACCUCCAUUUCCAUCUACACCCCAGCCAGUGGGAAUCAUUUACCGUUUUUGCUUAUGUCUCUCAUUACUGAGCUUUGCAGUUGCUACCCCCCUGAGACUGGAAGACUGUUCCUUCUACUCUCCAUUUGAGAUAAUACUACCAGAUUAGACAGCAUCCCUGGAGACCCUUCCUUGAGCCUCCUGGAGAUGGGGUUGAUACCCUCCUUUGAGCUUCCCGCAGCCUCUGUGCAUCUGUCAAUUGAUCACCAUACUCUGUACUGUUAUUGUUUGUUUCUUUAUUCCUCACUCCUCACUAUAAUGUAAGCUCCUGGGGGUCUGUCGAUCUCCGUCGCUUACCUGAGGGCUUGGUGCAUCAUAGCAGCCCUUCCAAAAUCAUUGUCACAUUUUUUCCCCACUUCAUCUUGGUCACAUCAUGCUAUUAUUUGUCUCCUGUCUGAUUGUCUGGUUCAGUGGCUCACACUCCUGGUGGGCAGGACCCGAGCCACGGCUACACUGGAUCUUCUGGGCUGGGGUGAGGGAAUCCUUGGAAUAGGUCCACAUCCUCUGGCCACCAGCAGUUGUGUCAGUUUUCCACUUACUAGAGUCCCUUGUCCAGGGACCAGAUGAGUGCAUGGGGGGACAUGGCCUUCUCCAGCCCGUCUGACUUGUACUUUUGCCUCUGCCCUGUCUAGGAUUGGAGCCAACAGUGGUGACCCACAGUGGGAUGCCCAGUACCCUGGCUCUCCUGAGGUCAGCAUUGCUUGGGGCAGCUGUUCCUGCUAAUGCCAGGUGCCAUUGGAAGGGCUGCUUCCCCCUGCCCAUUUUCAUUUUUGCUUUUCUGUGUCUCCAGCACUCCCUCUUCCAGAGCCACCUAUUAACCCUAUUCAGCCUUUCCACAGCAUUUUCUGGAAGGCUGAUUUCCCUUAAAUUUACAUGAUGAAUUCCAAAAGAGGACCACUCCUGUUUAUCUGUAUUCCAUAGUCACUUCACUUCUUGGCCUCAGGCUUCUCUUCUGAGAAAUGGGAAGAAUGAUGCCUUCCUCAGAGAGGGAUGUGAGGUUGCAGGAAGGAGAGAGUACAGGGCCUGACAUAUUGUCAGUGCCUGGUGAAUGAUGAAUGAAUCUCCUUUCCUCUUGCAGGGAACCUAUGGCAAGGUUGCUCUCACAGGAAGCCCUAAAGGGGCUCCUCAGCUACAUGGGGGUUCAUCUGCUCAGCCAGAGCUGACAUGCCUGGAUCUGGCUCAGUCACAGGACAGGUUCAGGGCACAGGUAUGAGGAGGAGCAAGGGAGCCAGGACUGGCAGCCUGAGCUGGGGUAAAGCUUCUACUGCUCACUGUUACUAGUAUUAUUACAAUAGUUUUCAGCUUGAGGAUGUGAGUCAUCAAUGGGUUUGUGAAAUCAGUUUAGUGAGUUGUACUCAGCUUUCAAAAAACUAAGCAGAACUGAAAAUAUCAGAGUAUCUUGCAUGUUAUAAGCACUAUUUUGUAAAACAUUUGUUGGUGUUAUGCCUAUGUGUCUGUAUGUCCUAGACUGUGAUAUAGAAUGUAUUUCCUACCGUGGGUCAUGGUCAAAGGGCUUAAAAGCGAUUGCUGUAUUGAAGAGUUACACCUGACACUGUUCUAAGCAGCCUACAUUAAUUUAUUUAAUCCUACAACCCUAUGAGGUUGGUACUCUUACAGAUGGGGAAGCUGAGGCACAGAGAAGUUAAGUAGCUUUGCCAAGGUCAUCCAGAAAAUAGGAGAUGGAAGCUUAAAGGUGAUACACUGCCUCUGGCAAGGAUCUGAUUUGACUCUAGUCCGCUCUCUCUUCCCUGCUAAACCCCAGGGACUAGCCAGCCAAUCCAGGCCACCAGAGGGUGAUGUGGGACUCAAAUCCGGGGCAAGCACAGCUGGUGGCAGGGCGAGCAACAAUGGUGGUUCUCCGCAGCAGCUGUAAGCAGAGGUGCCCGGACGGUGGCAGUGCGGUUCUUGCAGUCUCCUCACAGAGGGCCAGCAGGCUGGGCACAGCCCAGGAACACCCGCGCCCUCAAGUUUGCAGGGCCUAUCAUAGGGGACAGGGCUGUGAGACAGAUGCAUCUCAGUGACAGCGUGUCCAAAGAUUUCAUGGCUGGAGGAGGCACCUUAAAAAAAACACAGAAAGAGGUGGUUGGCCGCAGUCUAAGCCGACAGUGAGUUUCUUUCCAAGUGGUGGUGUUCCUCGAUAUUCCUGCUCCUGGUCCUUGAACAGGAGGCAGCUGUGGGACGGAAAAACAAGCCCUGGGCUCAGAAUUGGAAGUGUGUCUUCACCAGGUUUCUGCCCCUAACCCACCGAGUGACCUUGGGCUUCUCCUGAAGGUGCAGAUCAUAGACCUGUGCUGAGAAGGCAGGUCUCAGUUUUCUCAGGCUUCCCAGCUGGAUCCAAGUUACAGCCUCUCUAUUAGGCCCUUGGAAUGCUAAGCGCAGACAUAGGGAGCAGGAAAGAAGAGCUGCUUUGGGGGAGGGAGGAAUCCAAUUUGGAUUUGGGGGAUGCUGCUGUAAUCGGUCGGAGAACUGAGGAUGCUGAGGCUGAAGCCUGGGGAGGGCUGCUGGUACUCCAGACGCCAGAGCUUUCCUGUCCCCGUUUUAUAAGAAGAAUACUAGGGAAGACAUCUCUCAUCAGUUGAGCAAAAAUGGAACCAUAUCUUACUAAACACAAAUAAGGCUGACUGAUAAUUUUGAUGGAACUAAGUUUGGCAGAUGACUGGAAAUGCAGCAGAUGUCACAUAAUUUAAGCAUCAGUGCACUAUUUGUUACGGCACCUCGAACAUUUACUGGAACAAGGGCUCAGCUGCCUUCGGUAACUGGGUAAGUGAGAUAUGUUUAACUGGGUUUGAUAUUAUGCAAACAGUCCUGAUUAAAAGAUUUGUUUUAAAAGAGGCUGCAGAAAAGGAAGGGUGGGCUGAUGGGACCUAAGUUUGGUUUACCUGUAAUUUGUAUGAAAAAUGGUGAAUACAACUCCCUGGGAUAGGGAGACUCUUCACUUGGAAGUUCAACCCUGUGCAAACCAUGCCAAGUAUUAUCCUCCCAGCCAGGCUCCUGCUGCUGGAGUUUCACUGUUGUGACUCUGAAAAUGCCUGGUAGGAGAGGCGUCUGCAGACAGGCAGCAGCACCGGGGGACUAAGGGAUUCUGUACCCAGCCAAGGAGGAUGUUCCCAGAAAACUGGCUGUGGCUCCAGAAGGCCUGCAUCCCUUGAAUUUUGGGUGGAUACAUGAAGGACUGCUCAGCCUUUCUGGGAAUGUCAGUUACCUGCAUAGAAGCUUCGCAAGUCCGUGUCCAGACAGUUCUCCAGGAAGCGCCUCAGAGAUCAUCCUUUUCCAAGGCAACUGCACUUCAAGUCCUGAAGCAGGAGUCGUGUUCCCCAGGUGGUUCAUCUAUUAUAGCUGCUGAGCCAGGCUCUGUGCUGGCAUUCUAUGUGUUUUGCCUCAUUUAUCCUCAUGCAAUCCUACAAGGAAGACCGGUCAUAAAAGAAGACGUCCUUGUCGGGUCCAGAGAAAUUUCUGCCAUACUCCAUGUUGAUGACGAAGAGCCCGUGUCUGGCCUGCCUUCCUGUGAUUGCCUCUAGCUGGGCCAGCAUCUGCAUGGGGAACUCCUCCAGGAAGUGACCGACAGUGUUCAGACUCUGAUCAGCCCCAUGGUAUUCAUGUUACAGCUGACUGCUGACUUACACCUGGGACAGAUUCCAGAAAGCUCAGAGUAACCUGCAGUGGAACUUCUGGUUCCAUCUGGGCUGAGAAGGGAAGCCACUGGGGUCUCUGGAGACUACCGAGCAGAGGUGAAUUUGAGUGACCCAUGUUUUAAAAGGAUCACCUGGCCACUGUGUUGUGAGACAACAGGACAAAGGUGAGAGGCUGGUGGCCCCAACCAAGGUGGCAGCUGUGGAGCUGGUGAGAAGCGGUCAGGUUCUAGAAAAAUUUGAAGGCUGAGGUUUACAGAUGCUCGAGUGUGUCAAAUGGGUGUGAGGAAGGGCGGAGUCGGGGAUGAUGGGAGGUGUUUGGGUUGAGCACUGAAUUCCCUGCCUGCUGGCCACGCUGCUGCAUCCCCCAGCUUUGGGUCAGGCUGCUCCCUGAGGGCUCUUCCUCUGCUUCUCACCUGCCACCUGCCCGUUGAGGGUCUCCCCUGCGGCCCUUUUCCCCUCCCUGCUGCAGUUGCCUCCUCUCUGAUCAGCUGCCUGUCAGACUGGACUCUUAAUGCCACACAGAGGUGCUCUCGCCCACACAGCUCCGUGCUCAUCUACUGGUGCUGAAUCCUUUCCGUACGUCACCUUUACUCCCUCUUACAGGCCUGCAAGGUAGGUGUUAUUAUCCCCAUCCUGCAGGUGACAGAGAGGCUCAGAGAUGCCAAUUAACUGGCCUAAGUGCACACAGGUAGAAAGCUGGGAUUCACAGUGAGGUUGGUCUUUCUGUCUGCAGCUUUUGUGGUGUGUGGCUUUCACCAAUUUCUUCCACCAGAGUAGAUCCCCCCGCCCCUGCAGGCUUCACUGUAAGGAGGAACUACUGGGCUCUUCCACACCUAAGACAGGAAUGGGAGAGCUAUGGCGGGACAGGGAGACUGGGGAGAGGGCAGAACUGGGUGUGGGUGGGC